CAUUACCGUGGGGGAUCUCGCGGAUCCCUACCGAGGAUAGGAACCCCUUGUCUUUGCAGGUACCCUCCGUUUCCUCGGCAGGUCCGCCCUGCCAACGGGGACAACCAAAAACUCUUGUUUGUAACAGCAGUAACCGUCUAAAAACAUAAUUAAAUUUAAAACUUUCAACAACGGAUCUCUUGGUUCUGGCAUCGAUAAGGAACGCAGCA
Molecule: unclassified non-coding RNA, 209 nt
Filed under: Pleosporales sp. NCPF 2659
Lineage: Eukaryota; Fungi; Ascomycota; Dothideomycetes; Pleosporales
Description: sequence contains ITS1
Rfam family: 5.8S ribosomal RNA (bases 160-209)
Source: RNAcentral